This 117-nucleotide non-coding RNA is filed under the name Nomascus leucogenys (northern white-cheeked gibbon). The record is from Rfam by way of RNAcentral. Lineage: Eukaryota; Metazoa; Chordata; Mammalia; Primates; Hylobatidae.
GCUGGGUAUGGUGGCUCAUGCCUGUAAUCCUAACACUUUGGGAGGCCGAGGUGGGAGGAUCACUUGAGCUCAGGAGUUCGAGACCAGCCUGGGCAACAUAGUGAGACCCUAUCUCUA